Molecule: long non-coding RNA, 838 nt
Organism: Corythoichthys intestinalis (scribbled pipefish)
Lineage: Eukaryota; Metazoa; Chordata; Actinopteri; Syngnathiformes; Syngnathidae
Exons: 5
Source: RefSeq, a predicted model, not a curated record
UUCGUUUCCGCUGUAGCCGGAAUCCACAGAUAUUCUACAUUCGCCCUCAGUUGUUCCCGCUUCUGGAUUUUUGUUCCAAUAAAGGCCGGUCCAUUUCAUCCACGUGUGACAGAUAAAGCAGCAAACACGAACGGGUUCUAGGGCGACCAAGGAAGGAAGCACACAGAAGAGAAGAACAACAAAAAACUCAUUAUGACACUCCUAUGGUACCAAUGAACAGAAUGGUGCUGAUAACUGAGGAGAAAUAGGAGGGAAGACUAAUGGACUGUGUGCGGCAAGGCGAGACUUCCGGUGAUUGGUCGUUUAAAGAAAGAAAAUGAAGCGGAGCAGAAUGACCGCACCACUUUAUGAGACACUACUGGAACCCCACCACCUCCUAGCGCCUCCUCCGCCAACCAUCUCCACUCUCUUUGCUCGCCCGCCUGUAAAUAUUGAUCCUGCAGAGAUGCAACCAGCAAUCGAUUAUCCCCCUUCGUAAUCAACGGCUCGCCUUCGAAUGUGCCGUAUAAACAAGUGAGAUUUUCUGCUUCAAUUAAGGACAUUACGGCUUACUCACUGUAUGAAUGAGGGGGUAUUAGGUGGGAGGAAACACAGGUGUUAAUUCUAUGGGAGCACCUAUAUGUUUUGUCUGUCAUGAUUACAGUAGAUUAAAACAAAUUAGGGGUGUAACCAACGUGAACGCCGGAGAGCUGUUUAUAACGGAAAAUCAGCUAAAACUGUAAAGGGUUUACAGUGUCUCUGUUGGAUAUUUUGUCCGUUUUGUAGAUCAGUGAUGACUCUGUUUUUAGAGCCUUGUCAAUUUGUACACCCACAUUUUAUUCCGCUACUCAAUAGACCU